UACGAAGGGGGCUAGCGUUGUUCGGAAUUACUGGGCGUAAAGCGUAUGCAGGCGGAUCGUUAAGUCGGGGGUGAAAUCCCGAGGCUCAACCUCGGAACUGCCUUCGAUACUGGCGAUCUUGAGUCCGGGAGAGGUGAGUGGAACUCCGAGUGUAGAGGUGAAAUUCGUAGAUAUUCGGAAGAGCACCAGUGGCGAAGGCGGCACACUGGCCCGGUACUGACGCUGAGAUACGAAAGCGUGGGGAGCAAACAGG
This 253-nucleotide ribosomal RNA is filed under the name uncultured bacterium. RNAcentral describes it as "partial 16S ribosomal RNA". It matches the Rfam family "Bacterial small subunit ribosomal RNA", at positions 524 to 776 of the family's 1533-position model. The record is from RNAcentral.